Sporomusa sp. An4 is the source of this 72-nucleotide transfer RNA. It matches the Rfam family "tRNA". Rfam says of the family: Transfer RNA (tRNA) molecules are approximately 80 nucleotides in length. The record is from Rfam. NCBI's taxonomy places the organism in Bacteria, Bacillati, Bacillota, Negativicutes, Selenomonadales, Sporomusaceae.
GGCGACAUAGCCAAGUGGUAAGGCAGAGGUCUGCAAAACCUCUAUUCCCCAGUUCAAAUCUGGGUGUCGCCU